RNAcentral lists this ribosomal RNA (398 nucleotides) under unidentified microorganism. RNAcentral's name for it is "partial 16S ribosomal RNA". It matches the Rfam family "Bacterial small subunit ribosomal RNA", at positions 1096 to 1483 of the family's 1533-position model. The record is from RNAcentral.
UCGUAACCCCUAUCUUUUGUUGCCAGCACGUCAAGGUGGGAACUCAAAAGAGACUGCCGCGGACAACGCGGAGGAAGGCGGGGAUGACGUCAAGUCAUCAUGCCCCUUAUGUCCUGGGCUACACACGUACUACAAUGGGAUGGACAGAGAGCAGCGAACCCGUGAGGGCAAGCGAACCCCAUAAACCAUCUCCCANUUCGGAUUGCANGCUGCAACUCGCCUGCAUGAAGUCGGAAUCGCUAGUAAUCGCAGGUCACCAUACUGCGGUGAAUACGUCCCGGGCCUUGUUCACACCGCCCGUCNUACCACGGANUUCCNUUCACNUCCACANCCCGGNUGGGGUUNACCUUCNGNNANCCNCCCGUCCUNUNGUGGGGGGGCGAUNUAACUGGGGGUGA